This is a non-coding RNA of Alligator mississippiensis (American alligator), 863 nucleotides long. NCBI's taxonomy places the organism in Eukaryota, Metazoa, Chordata, Crocodylia, Alligatoridae. The record is from the annotation of a RefSeq genome assembly.
ACUCCUCAAAGAGCAAUUCCCAAAGCUCCUGGACUGGACCCAAAACUAUUGUGCUCAGGGCAGGAUUCAGCCUCUUUGCAUUCACAGCACUGGGAACGGUCUCUCUGGCCCUGCCUUUUAUAAGUAAAAUAGGGAAGACAGCAGGGAAGAGAUGGCAGAGGCUGAAUGAGCAGCAGAUUUGCAUGAAGUGGGCGUUCUCAGCUCUGAGGGUUUAAGAGCGACACGGAGGCUGCCAGCCAGGGACCCGUUUUCCUCAGGAAGCCGAGCGGGUCUGGAUUCCCACCAUGGCCUGGGUCACUUUCCUUCUCGCUCUGCUCAUGUGCUCUGUCGGCUCCAGUUCCCAGCAGCUGCAGUCGCUGAAGCCAUCAGAGCAGGUGUCUCCCGGAGGGACUGUGACCAUCGCGUGCAGCCUGAGCAGUGGAGCAGUUGGUGAUGGCAACUACCCACACUGGGUGCAACAGAAACCGGGCCAAGCUCCUCGGCUGCUGAUGUACAGCACCAGUACCCGGCCCUCUGGUGUGCCAGCGCGCUUCUCUGGGUCCCGAUCAGGGAACACCAUGUCCUUGACCAUCACUGGGGCCCAGCCCGAGGAUGACGCUGAUUAUUACUGUGUUGCAUGGAUUGGGAGUGCUCACCACAGCAAUGCUUGCAGAUGGGGAAGUGAGACAAAAACCUCCUUCCCUCCCUGGCCUGUGCCCUGCUGGGUGCCACCUUGGCUCUACAGCUGGAGUUCUCCGUGCAGGAACUGUGACAGCUGGUCCUCCUUCCCCGGGAACCCCAGCUCUGCACACUCUGGACUGAAGCGGGGGAUGAGGGGGGCAUGCUUCCUUUUCUCUGUGCCCACUGGUACCUCCUGACAUGCC